CCUACGGGUGGCAGCAGUGGGGGAUAUUGCACAAUGGGGGGAACCCUGAUGCAGCGACGCCGCGUGGGUGAAGAAGCGCCUCGGCGCGUAAAGCCCUGUCAGCAGGGAAGAAAAUGACGGUACCUGAAGAAGAAGCCCCGGCUAACUACGUGCCAGCAGCCGCGGUAAUACGUAGGGGGCAAGCGUUAUCCGGAUUUACUGGGUGUAAAGGGGGCGUAGACGGCGGUGCAAGCCAGGAGUGAAAGCCGGGGGCCCAACCCCGGGACUGCUCUUGGAACUGGGUGGCUGGAGUGCAGGAGGGGCAGGCGGAAUUCCUGGUGUAGCGGUGAAAUGCGUAGAUAUCAGGAGGAACACCAGUGGCGAAGGCGGCCUGCUGGACUGCAACUGACGUUGAGGCCCGAAAGCGUGGGGAGCAAACAGGAUUAGAUACCCGAGUAGUC
RNAcentral lists this ribosomal RNA (440 nucleotides) under uncultured bacterium. RNAcentral's name for it is "partial 16S ribosomal RNA". It matches the Rfam family "Bacterial small subunit ribosomal RNA", at positions 338 to 795 of the family's 1533-position model. The record is from RNAcentral.